Molecule: ribosomal RNA, 147 nt
Filed under: Staphylococcus aureus
Lineage: Bacteria; Bacillati; Bacillota; Bacilli; Caryophanales; Staphylococcaceae
Description: partial 23S ribosomal RNA
Rfam family: Bacterial large subunit ribosomal RNA
Source: RNAcentral
CAUCUAAGCAUGAAGCCCCCCUCAAGAUGAGAUUUCCCAACUUCGGUUAUAAGAUCCCUCAAAGAUGAUGAGGUUAAUAGGUUCGAGGUGGAAGCAUGGUGACAUGUGGAGCUGACGAAUACUAAUCGAUCGAAGACUUAAUCAAAA